Molecule: ribosomal RNA, 476 nt
Filed under: uncultured bacterium
Lineage: Bacteria
Description: bacterial SSU rRNA
Rfam family: Bacterial small subunit ribosomal RNA
Source: RNAcentral
GAUUCUGGCUCAGGAUGAACGCUGGCGGCGUGCCUAACACAUGCAAGUCGAGCGAUUACUUCGGUAAAGAGCGGCGGACGGGUGAGUAACGCGUGGGUAACCUGCCUCAUACACAUGGAUAACAUACCGAAAGGUAUGCUAAUACAGGAUAAUAUAAGAGAUUCACAUGGAUUUUUUAUCAAAGCUCCGGCGGUAUGAGAUGGACCCGCGUCUGAUUAGCUAGUUGGUAAGGUAAUGGCUUACCAAGGCGACGAUCAGUAGCCGACCUGAGAGGGUGAUCGGCCACAUUGGAACUGAGACACGGUCCAAACUCCUACGGGAGGCAGCAGUGGGGAAUAUUGCACAAUGGGCGAAAGCCUGAUGCCAGCAACGCCGCGUGAGUGAUGAAGGCCUUCGGGUCGUAAAACUCUGUCCUCAAGGAAGAUAAUGACGGUACUUGAGGAGGAAGCCCCGGCUAACUACGUGCCAGCAGCCGC